UGCAGAGAGGACUCUCGGGGAGGACUCUGUUAUGGGUCAUCAUCUAAAACGGUGGGUCUGUCGUGAUGCAGCUGUUUGGGGUCUGCCAUAUCCAGCACAGAGACAUUCAGCGAUAAUUCCAGCUGACUGGAAGUGACCAGCCUGAGCUACCAGAUUCUGCCUCAAAAAGGACAAAUGUGUAUCUUUAUUAAAGAAUAAAGGAUUUAAGAAGGGGGGAAUUCUUUGACAAUAAUACUUAGUUCUCAUCUCAUAGAAAUAAAUACAUGGGA
Grammomys surdaster is the source of this 269-nucleotide long non-coding RNA. RefSeq lists it as uncharacterized. The record is from RefSeq and is a predicted model, not a curated record. The transcript is spliced from 2 exons. Lineage: Eukaryota; Metazoa; Chordata; Mammalia; Rodentia; Muridae.